Long non-coding RNA from Mirounga angustirostris (Northern elephant seal), 792 nucleotides. RefSeq lists it as uncharacterized. The record is from RefSeq and is a predicted model, not a curated record. The transcript has 3 exons. Lineage: Eukaryota; Metazoa; Chordata; Mammalia; Carnivora; Phocidae.
AGACAGAGAGCAUGAGAGGGAGGAGGGUCAGAGGGAGAAGCAGACUCCCUGCCGAGCAGGGAGCCCGAUGCGGGACUCGAUUCCGGGACUCCAGGAUCAUGACCUGAGCCGAAGGCAGUUGCUUAACCAACUGAGCCACCCAGGCGCCCUAAAAAAAUCCAUUUUGAGUAGAUGACAUACAAAUGUGACCCAGAGGGACAUCUGAGGGAAGAGAGUUCCAGGCAGAGGGAACAGCAUGAGCAAAGGCCCUGGGGCAGGACCAGCCCAGAGUGAUGGAGGAGCAGCGAGGAUGCCCGCUUGGCUGACAGCCACCAGACUUGGAGGCCCUCCAGGGAAGGCUCAGCCUGUGCGCCAGCCUCAGAAGAAGCAAGACAGGACCACCCCCGCCUGCAUUCCUAGAAAAUAUCGGAAGCCACACAACCGUUCUCCACCUCCCCCCGCACCUGCCUGAGCCCUGACCGUGGCAGCACCAGCUUUGCCCGACUCCCAGGACCGGCCCCCCAGCGUGUUCUCCAUCCACCCUGCCCUGCCCAGCUCCCACCCCUACCUGCCACAAACCCGGCUCUCAUUCUGCCCCACCCUCCACGGCCUCCAGGGCAGAGUACACCGCGCAGCCCACAGCGUGGAUGCCCUGUGACAAAAGUACCAACAGGGGUGGGGGCCUCGCUCUGCCACCUGCCCUCUUGUGGAGCCCACUUAUGUCAGUUUCCUCAGAACCGGGAAGUGGCCCUCCCCAUGAGCAGGAACUCAGUAUAACAACAUAAUAAUGCAUAAGAAUAAAUAAAUAAAACU